This 466-nucleotide ribosomal RNA is filed under the name uncultured bacterium. RNAcentral's name for it is "partial 16S ribosomal RNA". It matches the Rfam family "Bacterial small subunit ribosomal RNA", at positions 28 to 507 of the family's 1533-position model. The record is from RNAcentral.
GAUGAACGCUGGCGGCGUGCUUAACACAUGCAAGUCGAACGAUGAAGCCCAGCUUGCUGGGUGUCUUAGGGGCGAACGGGUGAGUAACACGUGAGUAACCUGCCCUUAACUCUUGGAUAAGCGUGGGAAACUGGGUCUAAUACCGGAUAGGAGCGUCCACCGCAUGGUGGGUGUUGGAGAGAUUUCUCGGUUUUGGCUGGACUCGCGGCCUAUCAGCUUGUUGGUGAGGUAAGGGCUCACCAAGGCGACGACGGGUAGCCGUCCUUAGAGGGUGACCAGCCACACUGGGACUGCGACACGGACCAGACUCCAACGGGAGGCAGCAGUGGGGAAUAUUGUACAAUGGGAGCAAGCCUGAUGAAGCGACGCCGCGUGAGGGAUGACGGCCUUCGGGUUGUAAACAUCUUUCAGUAAGGAAGACGCGAUAGUGACGGUACCUGCAGAAGAAGCACCGGCUAACUACGUG